Molecule: long non-coding RNA, 1381 nt
Organism: Cucurbita maxima (winter squash)
Lineage: Eukaryota; Viridiplantae; Streptophyta; Magnoliopsida; Cucurbitales; Cucurbitaceae
Exons: 9
Source: RefSeq, a predicted model, not a curated record
AUGCCGCUGCCCCCUCCCUCUGUAAUCUUUAACCACUCGAAGGAGGCGAGAAACAGAAGGUAAUUCUUCCGCCGGAGUUUCCACCAGAGCUCACCGAUGAAGAAGUUGAGGUCUCCGACAGAAGUCACUGUAUUAGGCUUCCAUCAGCAAAGGAGCUAGAAAUGGAAGUAUCCAAGGGUGUUCAGAAAAUGCGGAACUACGAGUCUACUCUUCUCAUUGCUUAUAAGUGUAGACUGAAACUUCUUGGUUUUUUGCAAUGCAUAACUGGGGAUCUAGAUGCCUUAUUUGUUAAGAGGAUCUCCUUUUAGGAAAGAAAGAUAGCAUAGUGAAGUGAAGAGCAAAAGAACAGAAGAAAAUAGAGAAUCGUGAGGAAUCAAGUCAUUUGCAGGGGAAUGAAGGAAGACAAAGUUUAGUGAAGAGGUUACUGCUUCUCUUGCUCCAGAUGCAAAGAGAGAUGCAGUCAGAUACACUUUCUUCUGUAUGUGAAACAUAUUUCCGGAUCUUAAGCUAUACAAUGCAUUCUUAAUGUCUAGGUAACAUUCAAGUUUCAUUCAGAGAUCAUGGUGAAGUACUAGCGAAAGCUUUGAAGAUAAUGUUGUGCGAUGAUAGACAGCAUGACAUGCAAAAGGCAGCUGCAUUUAUUAAGCAUUUGGCUACUUCCACAUUAUGUUUUGGAUCCGCAGAGUCGUUGGCAGCCCUGGUCCCCGUAAACAUCUACUUGAUAUGCAGAAAUAUCAGCAAUAUGCCUCUGAUCCAAAAUUGAGUGACUCCCUUGCUUCUGUCCUUUGGGAACUUAAUCUUCUGUGGGAAGCAUUAUCAUCCAGAUGUCUCAACUAUGGCUGCUAGCACAUCAAGCAUGAAUAGUACUCAAAAUCGAGUAUAUACAUCUCCACUGUUUCUCCCCAGCAGGCAUGCAGAGACUUGUCAUUGGAACAGGAGUCUUGUAUCCCACAACUUAACGUCAGGAAAGUUAGCAAGAUGAAACUAGCUACGGAAUCUACCCAGUCUACUUUGGACAUGGACAUGUGCAGCGCCAUUGACGAGAAUAAAGUGAAGGAAAAGCUUGAUACAAGAUUCUCUCUUCUCCGGGACAUCAAAGACAAUGAAAGAUUGAGGACUAAAUUGGAGCAUGCCACUUCGUCUUUGCAGCUAUACGAAGAAUACAAAAGCAACAUGACUUCGGUUAAAACGUAUACGCAAGAAGCAGUCUUUGGAACUUGAGCUCGAGCAGGUGAAGAAGAAUUUUCAGCAGAUAGAUAUCUAUUUGUAUUUGUAGUUCAUGCUUCAUCCAUUGGAUCAAAAUAGAAAUUGAUAGAUAUUAUUGAUUGAGACCGUGUAGAUGACAACCAACCGAAAUAAAAGUCGUCCUAAUUUUGUCUUA